RNAcentral lists this ribosomal RNA (206 nucleotides) under uncultured bacterium. RNAcentral's name for it is "partial 16S ribosomal RNA". It matches the Rfam family "Bacterial small subunit ribosomal RNA", at positions 316 to 541 of the family's 1533-position model. The record is from RNAcentral.
CCUACGGGAGGCAGCAGCCUACGGGAGGCAGCAGUCGGGAAUAUUGGGCAAUGGGGGAAACCCUGACCCAGCAACGCCGCGUGAAGGAAGAAGGCCUUCGGGUUGUAAACUUCUUUUACCAGGGACGAAGAACGUGACGGUACCUGGAGAAAAAGCAACGGCUAACUACGUGCCAGCAGCCGCGGUAAUACGUAGGUUGCAAGCGU